GGAGGGAAAGUUGAAAAGCACUUUGAAAAGAGAGUGCAAGAGAACGUGAAACCGUUAUAGUGGAAGCGGAUGGAGCCGACGUAUCCAGUGCGUAUUUAGCCGUUGUCGGAUGCGAUUUGUUCGUUUGAAGUUCUGAAAAGUCUUCGGCGGGCAGUUGUCGUGUUCGGGAACGGUGCACUUGCGUACAGAGUGCGCCGAAUCGGUCGGACUUGGCGUUCAAAGUGCGGUCAAGAGGACCAGUUUGCAAGAACUGGAAACCUAGGCCGAACGGGCGACGCAUGAGUCUGGCUGCGUUGCAUAAGGCUGGCUGAAUUUGAAGCGAUCGGAGGAGUUUCGGCAUUGUUGGGAUGUGACGCAUGCGUCUUAUUCCGCAGUUCGUCUCUUCGCUGGGCGUUUCUCGGCCGGUAUUCGGUGUCUAGUCGGUCACCCAUCCGACCCGUCUUGAAACACGGACCAAGGAGUUUAAGGUUUGCGCGAGUCAUUGGGUGCAAAACUCAAAGGCGAAAUGAAAGUGGGACACUUGGUGUCUGUGAUGCGAUCCGUGCAUGAUUCGUUGUGUGCGGAGCAGCAUCGACCCAUGACCAGAACUUGUUCUGUUGUGGAGUCUGAGCGCAAGCUUUGAGACCCGAAAG
This 632-nucleotide ribosomal RNA is filed under the name Ficophagus sp. 1 NK-2021. RNAcentral describes it as "partial 28S ribosomal RNA". It matches the Rfam family "Eukaryotic large subunit ribosomal RNA", at positions 354 to 822 of the family's 3401-position model. The record is from RNAcentral. Lineage: Eukaryota; Metazoa; Nematoda; Chromadorea; Rhabditida; Aphelenchoididae.